This is a small nucleolar RNA of Arabis alpina (gray rockcress), 107 nucleotides long. It matches the Rfam family "Plant small nucleolar RNA R71". From Rfam's summary of the family: R71 is a member of the C/D box family of snoRNAs containing the C (UGAUGA) and D (CUGA) box motifs. Multiple nearly identical copies of this snoRNA have been identified in Arabidopsis, and it is thought to function as a 2'-O-ribose methylation guide for 18S ribosomal RNA. NCBI's taxonomy places the organism in Eukaryota, Viridiplantae, Streptophyta, Magnoliopsida, Brassicales, Brassicaceae. The record is from Rfam.
AACCCGUGAUGUGGACAGUCUCUCUGAUAUCCCUUGAACCUCUCCAACGCAGCUUUGAAAGUUUCAGUCGGACCCUGAACAAACGUGGAGAUCUUAGCAUGGAGAUC